AUGCCAAUGUCAUGGAUACCUCCUUAUGCUCAUGUAAAUCCAUAUCCAUCAUGGGACAUGUAUAAUAUAAGGGCACAUUCUCCAUCUUAUUUUAGACCAUCUCACCAAUACUAUGCAGUUUCAAGAAGAUCAACAUUUGAAAAAUCACACGUCAAAGACCGUUUCAAUCAUAAGGAAUCAGUCCAGAGCUCAUGGAAGAAGAAAGAGGUGGUCAAGCAAGUUUACCGCGUGAAAAGAGAUGGUCAUAAGUGUGCUACUUCAGAUUUGAUCUCAAAUAACAAAGAGCCAAUUAAAGUGUUGACAUUGGCUACAAAAGGCAAUGAGGCAAGUCAAUCAAGUGUCAAAUUUGAAGAAAAGAAGUUGAGAGUGCGCAAGGUAAAAAAAUAA
Molecule: ribosomal RNA, 387 nt
Filed under: Triticum aestivum (bread wheat)
Lineage: Eukaryota; Viridiplantae; Streptophyta; Magnoliopsida; Poales; Poaceae
Description: partial small subunit ribosomal RNA
Source: RNAcentral